Molecule: microRNA precursor, 193 nt
Filed under: Oryza rufipogon (brownbeard rice)
Lineage: Eukaryota; Viridiplantae; Streptophyta; Magnoliopsida; Poales; Poaceae
Description: MIR812 microRNA precursor family
Rfam family: MIR812 microRNA precursor family
Source: Rfam by way of RNAcentral
AAAAAGGCAAACUCUAUAUUUCCGUGUCCAACUUUGACUGUCCGUCUUAUAUGAAAUUUUUUUAUAAUUUGAAUUUUUAUUGUUGUUAGAUGAUAAAACAUGAUUAAUAUUUUAUGCGUAACUUGUCUUUUUAAUUUUUUUAUAAUUUUUUCAAAUAAGAUGGACGGUCAAAAGUUGGACACGGAAAUUAGGG